UUGCUUCAGCAGCACAUAUACUUAAAUUGGAACUAUACAGACAAGAUUAGCAUGACCCUGCACUAGGAUGACACUCAAAUUCAUGAAGUGAUUCAUAUAUUU
Molecule: small nuclear RNA, 102 nt
Organism: Nannospalax galili (Upper Galilee mountains blind mole rat)
Lineage: Eukaryota; Metazoa; Chordata; Mammalia; Rodentia; Spalacidae
Source: Ensembl